UAGAGUUUGAUCCUGGCUCAGAACGAACGCUUGUGGCGUGUUUUAUACAUGCAAGUCGAGCGAGGACAGUAUCUUGCUACUGAGCCGAGCGGCGAACGGGUGAGUAACGCGUAAGCAAUCUGCCCCACAAUCGGGAACAACCGUGCCAACGCGCGGCUAAUGCCGGAUAUUGUGUCCUACUGCAUAGUAGGUUAACGAAAGAUUUAUCGUUGUGGGAUGAGCUUGCGUCCGAUUAGCUAGUUGGCGGGGUAAUAGCCCACCAAGGCGACGAUCGGUAGCCGGCCUGAGAGGGUGAUCGGCCACAUUGGGACUGAGAUACGGCCCAGACUCCUACGGGAGGCAGCAGUAGGGAAUAUUGCGCAAUGGGGGGAACCCUGACGCAGCAACGCCACGUGUGGGAAGAAGCAUUUCGGUGUGUAAACCACUGUCGGAAAGGAAUAACGGAAGACUUCGGUCUUUAUGAAUGUACUUUUAGAGGAAGCACCGGCAAACUUCGUGCCAGCAGCCGCGGUAAUACGAGGGGUGCAAGCGUUGUUCGGAAUCACUGGGCGUAAAGGGAGCGUAGGCGGAAGUGCAAGCAAUCUGUAUAAUCCUGGGGCCCAACCCCAGUUCUGCAGAUUGGACUGUAUUUCUUGAAUAGUUCAGAGGCAAGCGGAAUUUCUGGUGUAGCGGUGGAAUGCGUAGAGAUCAGAAAGAACACCAAUGGCGAAGGCAGCUUGCUGGGGACUUAUUGACGCUGAGGCUCGAAAGUGUGGGUAGCAAACAGGAUUAGAUACCCUGGUAGUCCACACUGUAAACGAUGCAUACUGGGUGUCCGAAAUUCGUUUCGGGUACCGUAGCUAACGCGUUAAGUAUGCCGCCUGGGGAGUACGUACGCAAGUAUGAAACGCAAAGGAAUUGACGGGGGCCCGCACAAGCGGAGGAACAUGUGGUUCAAUUCGAUGAUACGCGAGGAACCUUACCCGGGCUCGAACGGUGCAUGAAUAUACGAGAGAUUGUAUAGUCCUUCGGGACAUGUAUCGAGGUGCUGCAUGGUUGUCGUCAGCUCGUGCCGUGAGGUGUCGGCUUAAGUGCCAUAACGAGCGCAACCCUUGUCAUUAGUUGCCAUCAGGUCAAGCUGGGGACUUUAAUGAGACUGCCACCGUAAGGUGUGAGGAAGGGGGGGAUGACGUCAAAUCAGCACGGCCCUUACGUCCGGGGCGACACACGUGUUACAAUGGGAGGUACAGAGGGCAGCUAUCCGGUGACGGAAUGCUAAUCUCCAAAACCUUUCUCAGUUCGGAUUGGAGUCUGCAACUCGACUCCAUGAAGGUGGAUUCGCUAGUAAUCGCGCAUCAGCCAUGGCGCGGUGAAUACGUUCCCGGGCCUUGCACACACCGCCCGUCAAG
RNAcentral lists this ribosomal RNA (1388 nucleotides) under uncultured bacterium. RNAcentral's name for it is "bacterial SSU rRNA". It matches the Rfam family "Bacterial small subunit ribosomal RNA". The record is from RNAcentral.